RNAcentral lists this ribosomal RNA (253 nucleotides) under uncultured bacterium. RNAcentral describes it as "partial 16S ribosomal RNA". It matches the Rfam family "Bacterial small subunit ribosomal RNA", at positions 524 to 776 of the family's 1533-position model. The record is from RNAcentral.
UACGUAGGGUGCGAGCGUUAAUCGGAAUUACUGGGCGUAAAGCGUGCGCAGGCGGUUUUGUAAGCCAGAUGUGAAAGCCCCGGGCUUAACCUGGGAAUGGCAUUUGGGACUGCAAGGCUCGAGUGCGGCAGAGGAGACUGGAAUUCCUGGUGUAGCAGUGAAAUGCGUAGAUAUCAGGAGGAACACCGAUGGCGAAGGCAGCCCCCUGGGCUAACACUGACGCUCAGGCACGAAAGCGUGGGGAGCAAACAGG